This 253-nucleotide ribosomal RNA is filed under the name uncultured bacterium. RNAcentral's name for it is "partial 16S ribosomal RNA". It matches the Rfam family "Bacterial small subunit ribosomal RNA", at positions 524 to 776 of the family's 1533-position model. The record is from RNAcentral.
UACGUAGGGGGCAAGCGUUGUCCGGAUUUAUUGGGCGUAAAGAGCGCGCAGGCGGUCGUUCAAGUCGCGUGUGAAAGCCCCCGGCUCAACUGGGGAGGGUCACGCGAUACUGAUCGACUCGAAGGCAGGAGAGGGUAGUGGAAUCCCCGGUGUAGUGGUGAAAUGCGUAGAUAUCGGGAGGAACACCAGUGGCGAAGGCGACUACCUGGCCUGUUCUUGACGCUGAGGCGCGAAAGCUAGGGGAGCAAACGGG